UACGUAGGGGGCAAGCGUUGUCCGGAAUCAUUGGGCGUAAAGAGCGUGUAGGCGGCCCGAUAAGUCCGCUGUGAAAGUCCAGGGCUCAACCCUGGGAUGCCGGUGGAUACUGUCGGGCUCGAGUCCGGAAGAGGAGUGUGGAAUUCCUGGUGUAGCGGUGAAAUGCGCAGAUAUCAGGAGGAACACCAAUGGCGAAGGCAGCUCUCUGGGACGGUACUGACGCUGAGACGCGAAAGCGUGGGGAGCGAACAGG
RNAcentral lists this ribosomal RNA (253 nucleotides) under uncultured bacterium. RNAcentral's name for it is "partial 16S ribosomal RNA". It matches the Rfam family "Bacterial small subunit ribosomal RNA", at positions 524 to 776 of the family's 1533-position model. The record is from RNAcentral.